ACGAGUUCAAGGGGUUUUAAGCCAGAAAUAGGCUGGGUCUGGGGAGAGGGGCUUUCAAACUCUCCUUGUAGGAAAGGGACCAGGGCUGCCCCAGGAAGAAGCCCCAUUUCCAGUGGAGAGAAACGUCCAAGACCUGCCCUGGCUUGUGUGGCCUUCAUACCUGCCCGGAGCACCAGUUCCCUCCCUCCUGUCCAGCUCAGCCUGGCUGCCCAGAACACAUGAGCCCAGAGAGGGUGGGCGAUGCAGGGCCAGAGAAGACCAGCCUGCCCUAGGACGCUGCAGGCCCCUGACCCACACAGUGGAGGAGUAGGCGAGUGGUGAAACAUGGCGAAUACCUCCAAGACCUGCAUCAAGCCACUCAUGCACCUGGAGACACAGGAAAUGGAAGAGGCCCACACGAGGUGUGGCCCCCGGACGGAGCACCUGGCUGUAGGGACGCAAGCUGCUGGGCCCGGUGCCAGUGGGGCAGGGCCCAGGGACCAAGCCGGCUGUCGUGGGUGAGUCUUUUCAUCAUCUCGGUUCUGUACCUGACGGAGAGGAGGCUCAGAGAGGGCAGAUGACUUGCGGAGGCCAUGAAGCCAGGAAGUGGCAGAUUUGAAUCUGGAUCUGUGUUUCACCAAGAUACCGACGAGAUGAGAGCUGGAGUUGUCACUCCUCUGCUUUGUUAGAACAUGUAAGCCUUACAGACUCAGAGAAGUGCUGGCGUCUGCGUAGCACUUGCUAGUUUACAAAGUCUGCUGGGACCUGUCCUUAUUUUCAUUUAAUUCUCAAAACAACCUGAGGAGGUGGGCAUGGAAUUGCUCAUUUAACAUAGAGGGGACCAGGUACAGUGGCUCACAAAUCCUAGCACUUUGAGAGGCCGAGGCAGGUGGAUCACUUGAGGUCAGGAGUUCAAGACCAGCCUGGCCAACAUAGCAAAACCUCAUCUCUACUAAAAUUACAAAAAUUAGCUGGGUAUGGUGGCUGGCAUCUGUAAUCCCAGCUACUCGGGAGGCUGAGACAGGAGAAUCGCUUGAACCUGGGAGGCGGAGGUCGCAGUGAGCCGAGAUUGUGAUAUUGCACUGCAGCCUGGACAAAAGGAGUGAGAAUCUCAGAAACAGAACAAAACAAAACAAAACAAAACAGAGGGGGGAAGCUGAGGCUUGUCCAUCUGGUGAAGAGCUGUCCUUGGAUCAAACCCAGAUGUGUGUCCUCAAAUCCAGGGUCCCCUCCCCUGCACCACCUGCUUCUUGAGGGCAUUGUCAUAGUCAGAGGCUGUGCUCCACCCCAGGGCACCUUGGUGCCUCCUCUUGUCAGGCAGCUGGGGACCUGGUGUCUGUGUCCUCACUGAGCCGGCCGGCUUGGACACCGCCGGGGCUGAGGAUGUGAGCUCACGUGCAGUGGCUCUCCUGCAAGGCUGACCUGGGCUCAGCUCUUUGGCCCUGCCGGGGCUGGAAAGCACGGUCCCUGGAGCUCAGCUGUCGGUGUCCCUCCCUGGUCCUGGGCCUGGGCUAGGCAUGGAGGACCCCGUGGUAAGAGAGACCCAGGCCUGGCCUCGAGGCUCUAUCAGUGAGACUGCUGGGGCUGCCAGAGAGGUGAGUGCCACUGCAGGGCCCCAGGAAGGAGCCCAGGUCUGCAGGGGACUGCAGCAGUCUCAGCGCCAUCUUGCACUGUCUUCUGAAAACAGAAGAGGAAUUCCUAAGCUCUUCGAGUCUGAGAAGGUGUCUGAGACAUGGAGAACAGCUUGGGGGCAGGAGUAUCUAGAUGUGUCAGGGAUGCACAGAGGGAUGGACAGUGAGAUGGAAAGGAGGUGAGCCACAGGCCAGCGCAGGUGGGGCCACGGGAGGCCAAAUGCCACGGUGUCUACCCGGAGGGCAGUGGGGGCCAGCAGGGCAGGGAAGUGGCAGCAGUUGCAUUGUAUAAGCCUCCCUCUGCUGCCACAGGUGUGGGGUAGACUGCAGG
Callithrix jacchus (white-tufted-ear marmoset) is the source of this 1941-nucleotide long non-coding RNA. RefSeq lists it as uncharacterized. NCBI's taxonomy places the organism in Eukaryota, Metazoa, Chordata, Mammalia, Primates, Cebidae. The record is from RefSeq and is a predicted model, not a curated record.